This 232-nucleotide long non-coding RNA is filed under the name Olea europaea (common olive). RNAcentral describes it as "long non-coding RNA (OEUR_LNC003720)". The record is from RNAcentral. Lineage: Eukaryota; Viridiplantae; Streptophyta; Magnoliopsida; Lamiales; Oleaceae.
GUUAAGCCUUCAAACCAUAAUUUUGGCCAGGUGGACUUGUGAACUUUAAAAUUUGAAAAAUUAAAUAAACUGGUCUGAAUCAAUUUUCAAUCUAGCAACGAAAACAAAACAUAAUCCCUCAAAUAAUACGUAGGCAAUUUUAACCUCGAGUUCAGUUUCUAGAAGUAAAUUUGCCCCAGUUGGUAAUCAGUGUGAAAACUUGGAUCACAACCUUAAGGAUUUUCUCUCUUUU